UAUUUCAGGGAAGAUAUUGUUUCUUGAAGCAGUGUCCAAAGUCAUCCUAGAUCUGAAAAAGAAGCAUUGAAAUGGUCUCAUUGGAUGUUGUAAAUUGAUUAUAAAAAGACUGCACAUAAUCUACUCCAGUGAUUCAGUGGGACUAUUUUUCAAAAUUUCGAUGUACCUGGGCGAAAUCGUACUGUCACCUGCAAGAUGUCGAAGGCUGAUGCCAACGACAGACACAAUCCUGCUCUCCUCGUCACAGACAAUUCAUGGACUUGUUAUACUGUUACUGUCAGAUAGUUACAAUAACAGUUAGCAUUUUGUUAUCCGUCGUCUUUUAACUGUCAAUUUCUAUAACGUGUCAGCCACUGAGCUGAAUGAAUAGAUGUUCAAUAGCUGAUUAAAUUUAUCAAGGAGGUAAAAAUAAAAAAUAAGUACCAAAGUAUUAAAAAAAUAGUAAAAUGAGAAAUGAAAUAUUGCAAUCUGAAAAUUUCAGAUUACAUUCUAACAGCUUAAAAAGAUUUUAUCCCUUGAAAAAAAAAAAAAACAAAAAAAAAAAAAAAAAAAAAAAAAAAA
This 561-nucleotide long non-coding RNA is filed under the name Stegodyphus dumicola. Its description in RNAcentral is "uncharacterized LOC118193017, transcript variant X1". The record is from RNAcentral. Lineage: Eukaryota; Metazoa; Arthropoda; Arachnida; Araneae; Eresidae.